Long non-coding RNA from Varroa destructor (honeybee mite), 1111 nucleotides. RefSeq lists it as uncharacterized. NCBI's taxonomy places the organism in Eukaryota, Metazoa, Arthropoda, Arachnida, Mesostigmata, Varroidae. The record is from RefSeq and is a predicted model, not a curated record.
CGCUGCCAUAAACUCUCCGAGUUUUCGUUGAACAUCAGCGUGUGCUAUUGCCUUUGCCUAAUAAUCCCGUAGCUAUUCAUCUAUCACCCCGCCUGCACGGAUAAAAACCUGCGCCAGUAUUGUAAUAACCGUACGAAAAAGUUAGACUGCCAUCGACAAAACCAAUAAGUCAUCCUGAAAAAUCGCCAGGGCUGUCCUUCGUAAAGUUUAGCCAACUUCACUUUGCCGAUCUGAGGGCAGAGCGUUGCGCUAUGGUGUGCAUAGUCGCCAUCAGUUGCAUCGAACGAUGCAUCUAUCCACUCUAAAUGACUGCGCGCGAAAAUGGAAGUAAUUUGAUUGUGAUAAUACAUUAGUUAUGCUUGUUCGUCGAUUGAGCUUCGUUUGUUAAUAUACCUUAUGAUAAAAAAGAAAAGUCGGUGAUAAUUGCAUCCACUGAGCGUCAGUGUGUAGACACAGAAUUAAAAAAUGUAUUACAUACUUUUCUCAGAAUACUAUGAAAUAGCCAGUGGUGAUUCUAAAUCAGUAUAUUAAUUGACAUUUGGUUAAAUCCUCAAGCCAAAUGGAAGUGAACGUGUACGUACAGCUGCGCGACGGACGCUGCAGGAAGUAUCUUUAUUCUACCCGUAUUAUGAUACGAACAUAACAAAGCAACUCCAAGAAUAAUUUGGGCGUCGCAUCUCCGCCAUCUAAUCAGCAUUGCCGCCACCGUCGACGUCAUUCAACCUAGUUCUGUUGUUGAUGAGCGCUGGAGUCUACUCGCGUGCGGUUCAAGUGUUACGAUUUUGGACUUGACCUUAGAGGGGCCUAACCGCCAAGAAAAAUCGGUCAGACAGUUCACUGGCCUAUCGCCAUCAUUAAAACCUGGCCGUCCGUGAGGGCUGCAACACGAUACGUCUCACGUGCAAAAAGGACACUACAUUAUUGGUAUCUCAUAUCGAUAUAUGGGCUCUGUUUAGCGGAUACAAUAAUGACGCGGAGAAAUAUGACAGCCUCGACGAGAAAAACAGCCAACAAAUCAAUCUGCGGCCAGAGUCUUACCACAGUGGAACGCUGUGUGCGUACGUGUGCGCCGGUGCAAGUGCGGAUGUUUUCAACCAUAUUCGUAAUUGAC